UCUUCACCAGUUUUGCCUUCAUCAGUAGUCUCUUCAAAAUUAGUGGUCUCAGAUGAGUAGGCAGCUCCUUUUCCAUAGGUAUCUCCUUCACCAUAAUUAGUUUUCUCUCCAUAGGUAGUUUCAGAUGGAACAUCUCCAUAGCCACUCUUGUUUUCAUAGCCACUCUCUCCAUAACUAGUCUUAUUUUCAUAGCCACUAUCUCCAUAGCCACUCUUGUUUUCAUAGCCACUAUCUCCAUAGCCACUCUUGUUUUCAUAGCCACUAUCUCCAUAACCAGUCUUAUUUUCAUAGCCACUAUCUCCAUCGCUAGUCUUAUUUUCAUAGCCACUAUCUCCAUAGUUACCUCCCUCACCAUAACUAGUUUUCUCUACAUAUCCACUUUCUCCAUAGUCAGUUUUCUCACCAUAUUUGUUAUCCCCAUAGUUAUCUCCCCCACCAUAACUAGUUUUCUCACCAUAUGUAUUCUCUCCGUAGGUAGUUUUUUCAGUAUCACCACCAUAUGGAGUUUCUCCAUAGGUAGUUUUGUCUUCCUCCUUGUCCUUGUGGUGGAAGAGACCGAAGUGGUGCUUCUUCUCUUCAGCCAUUUUGGUGAUAAAUGUGAUGGUUGACGAGUUUUGAAAAAAGUAGUAGUACGUACAAUAUACUUGGGUGCUGUUGGGAUGUUUUCUCUUGUUAAUAUUGAGUGGUAUUUAUAACUACUGUUGGUUAUAACUAGCUAGCCUAUGAGUUUGGAACUUGAGUUAGUUGAUGUGAGGACGACUAAUUUGUUUGUCCAGUGACCGUGUGUACGAGUUUUAUCCAAUGUUCGCACCUCUUUAAUUUGCAUGAAGGAAGUUUGUUACGUAGAUUUUUCAAUCCAUGUGGCGAAAAUCGACGAAUGCUUAAUUGUUAUGCCGACAUGAUACAUGACUCGCAUGCAUAUUCAUUUAUUGAGUUUUAGUGAGACAAACUUUAUUUCCGUCAUUAACUGCUUUAACUACGUAUGAUAUAUACGAUACGAAUAAUUAUAAACCUCUUUGCUGCGCAUUUUUUCUAGCUAACAUUAAGAAUUAGAUCAGACACUAUCAUGCAACAAAGAAAAGGAAGUGGCGAUAGAAACAACAAAAAAAGAUAAUGACAAUUGAGGAAUGGGUAACGAGUUUAUGUAUACCACCCACGUAACCUUCAAAACUCAAAUAUCGUGGGAGGAUUUAUGUUUAGUCUUUAGAAUACAAUUAAACUUCUAAAAUCGUCCAAAAAGGGAAAAGAAGGGGAAAAAGACUAAACAAAUUACCAUUUUCCUAUGUUUUGAAUUAAGUAUCAUAUGUAUAUAAGUUUUUUUCGGAAAUAUAGGGUUUAGUCCUAAUCCUAUAUGUCUGUGCCUUUGGCCUCAAAAUACUCUAGUCAGCCUCAACUUUUGUGUGUGUCGAUUGUCAAAACUAUACCUAUCUCAAUUCUUAGUUUACCCAAUGAACUGAGGCCCCAUGUCAUAUUGUUCAUUCUCCAAAUAUCUGGUUUUAAACGUGACGUGCGAGAGAAUGUGUGUCGAUUAAUUAGAACGUUCCACAUUAGUAAUCGAAUAUUGUCUUGAGUAAUCCUUACAACAUGAUCGUCAAGUUUUUUAGAUGAAUUUAUUAGUCCCAAUAUCCAUCUUCUUAACAAUGUCCUACAUAGUUAGGCUGAAAAUUAACUCAAUGUAGGCUUAAUUAUAAGUAGGCAAGUAGUCCAUAUUCAAAUGGAUGUCACCUUCACGGCUUCUCCAUUGAAGACCGGAAGGUUGAGGAGCUAUCUACAUAUAUACACACUGUCAGGAUUGCAUGCAACCCUAUAUACUUAAUUAUGUGAAAAUCUAAAUAUGCUUAAUUAUGUGAAAAUGUACAUAUUUUAAUUUCCCAACCUUCUUCUUUAAGAUAUAUAAAUUCAUACGGUGAUUAAAAGAUAUUUGAAACAUCGUAUAUUAGCUUUCAGAAAUAUGGAGUCUUUGGUUCAAAAAUACACGUGUGUUCCGAGCAUUUGCUAUACACUUGACCAAUAGCGAGGUUACUACUCACUCCGUUAUGUAAUCUAUUUCCUUUUUGGUCCGUUAAAAAAAAAAAGACCUUUUUCUAAAUUUGGAAACAAUUUUGGUAAACUUAAAAUUCUACCCUUAAUGAGAAGCUUUUAUAACCACACAAAUACUCUGGACCCUUUUUUUGACUUGUUUAGGACCACAAUUUGCAAAAGUCUUCAUUUUUUCUUAAACUCCGUGCUCAGUCAAACAGAUUUACAUAAAUUGGAACGGAGGGAGUACAAUUUUUUUGAAUUCAGAUAAUCUUUAUCAAUUGUCAUAUUAACAUGUGACUAUUUUGGUAAAUUUUGCUGAAUUAAUGUUAAUGCAUGACUAAGUUGAAAUUAAAUACAACCAUUAAUUAAACUGGUCUAUGCUUACAAGUUUGAACAACAUGACCCUUAACCUAAGCUUUAAUGGGUAUAAUUAUUAAUGAUUGAUACUUUUAUUAGUGGAAGAAUGCGAGUGCAAUAGUUAAGAUGCACAGCACUGUAUGUUAUCAAGAAAGAAAAUUGAGCAACAUAACUUUUUCCUUUCUAAAAAUUUGUAAACUUCCACGAGUGCCACGUUAUAUGUAGAUUUAUGACCCCAUUAGAAGCACAAAAUAAAAAUAUAUAUACUAUCUCAUUAAAAGCAGAAAAUAAAAGGAACAAAAAAAUCAAAAUCAUCAAUAGCAAUUUAUUUCAUUAUCCAUUCUAAUGGAAUUAAAAACAUCGCUAGCUAAUUAACUUUAUUGGCUUCGAUACAAUACACUGAAAACUAUUACGAUCUCCAAAAUAAAAAAAAGAAGUAAAAGUUGGAAAUCACAAAUGGAGAUCUUGAGUAUCUUUGAACCGAAAUCCCAACUCAUCUUCCACAUGAAUUGCUUGAUAGUAAUCUUUUUCAUAACUAUACGAUAUUAAAGUAUGGAUAGCAAUAAAAAGGGUCGGCAUUGCCAUUAUGAUUAGGACCCAUAUUUUGGCAUCUGUUGAAUUUUGAGGAGUGUCGGCAAACUUUUUAGGUAUAUUCAGUCGAACAGUUUCUUUGCUUGCCUUUUAUUUGUUGGUUUAUUGUCUUUGUCCUUCCAACUGCCAUUCUAAUAUCUGAAAACGGAAAAGAGAGGAAAUGGUAUUCUUUUUUUUAUCCCAUCAAAAUGAUCAUUAGUGUUUGCACUUAUUUUUUCACUUACUCGAACCUUUAACCUAUUGGUCAAUGAUGGAGGUGCUCAAAUAUUAAAGCAACUCUCACUUGUCUAAAUUAUUUAUCAUUUUUUUAAUACUUUUUCUAAGGAUCUUAUAUUCGGACUACUAAUUCGAUUAAUUUAAAUUUAUAUUAGUUGAUCCACGAAAGAAGUGAAGCGUUUCUUAAUAAGAGCAUCUAUAUUCUUAAGGUUUGAUUAAAAUUAAUAUGACUGGCUGAUUUGAGAACCUACUAAGUUAGAGUAACAACAAAAGAAUUUAUAGUGGAAAAAGAAGAUUUUCAUGAUGGAAAAAAAGAAGAAUAUUUUCAUGACCUUAUAGGAAACAUGUUCUAUUUUUAACUGUUAAGAUAAAGUUAUACUGAAACAAGAUUGUUUUUUUAUAAAUCGAUUUUCCAAAUUAAGAGACAAGCAUCGAACUAUCGAAGUAAUAUUUGAUCAAGAAAAUGUUUGCUAAAAGUAUGUUUCACAUCUCACCAAAUUGACCCUUCUGUAUCUCACUCUCUUCCUCGACUCUUGUUAUUUAGUGAUUUUUUUAAUACUUGCAUUUUCCAAAUUAGACAUUUUAAAAAAAAAUCUUCUUUACAUCAGUGGUUUAUAACGAGCCGACCAAAAUAGCUGGAGGGACAAAAGAGGAAGCCACCUCAUUUCUGUGGGAUUUAAGUUAUAUAUAUACUUAGUAUAAUUUAACGUACUACCUUAUUACUGCAAUUUAUAUUAGGUGACUAAUAAAUACUAUUAUUAAAUAAAAUUGCAUGCAAUUACUGACCUGAUUUUUAAGUAAUUUUUACACAAUUAGUGUAUACAGUAAUUGAACUUAAACUCAUUUAUGUUUACUAGAGUUGGUUCUUGUUUAAUUUGGAGCCACUUUUAGGAGCUUAAAGGAAACAAAAACAAGGAUUUAAAUAUAUAGCGUGUACAAAAUAAUGUCAAGAAUAAAAUACAUAUACUAAGACUGGUGAUUUUCAUCGUUCAUGCAUAAAAGUUGUUGUUUAAUGCAGGGUCCGAGUUAGAAGUCUGGCUACAUUUGGCAAAACUCCGUAUCUUUUGCUCAAGCAGUGUAUUUGAGUUAAAAUUUUCGCUAAGUAUAUAUAAAUAUUAAAUUUAGAACCCAAUUAUUAAUAUUUAAAAUCGUCGUUUUAAAAUCCAGAACCUAUAAAAUUGAAAUUUUGACUCCGCCUCUGAUUUAACGUUGGAAACUAUUUUCUUGUGUCCUUUUUUUAUUCUUCCAUUCAUUGUUUAUCUUCUUCUUAGUAGGUUUGUAUAAAUUAGCAUUAUAAUUAGGGACGGAUAACUGAACCCUCAGAUCGAGGGAUGAAAAUUUCUGCCCUCUUAGUUAUCCUAAAUCCUAAUUAGCACUACUACUAUUUCCACCAACCCUCUGGACUUCCACUCUUUCUUACAAUUUAUUAAAAUUAUAGGACUACAGUAUGCGUAUGUGUAAAUAGUUACGGUAAAGAUAUUUUAAAAUAUAUAGAGUAAUACAUUCACAGCUCUAAAAUUUUGGAUUAUUAUAUAUGUAUUUAAGGUAAAAAUUUAGGUCGAUUUUCAAAUUUAGGUGAAGUUCAAUGAAAAUUUUAAGAAGAUAAACCUCUUUGAUCAAGUCGCAAAGUCCACAUGCAUAUGUGAUGUUCGGAGAAAGUGAUAGAUACCUGAUAUUUACAGUUUUUAUUUUCUUUUUCUUUUUGUGAGGGUGUAACUUAGGUAUUAAAAACCAAAAAUGUUGGUAUAACAUUAAUUUUCUUUCUCUUCGUUUACGAAAUUAUAUAACUAUUUUUCUUACGAGUUAUGCUUUAGUUUGAAUUUUAUCAUCACCUUCAUCCUAUUAAAAAAAUAAUUAUAAAUCAAAUAGCAUAAUUAAGGGCACAAGUCCUAACAAUCUGAAAUAAAUGUAUCAUCAUCUUGAUGGGAUAAGCUCGUUAGAUGUGCUCAUAUCCCGUUCUAAGUCGUUGACAAACUAAAUUGAUAUAUUGAAAUCUUGUUAAUUAAAUGCUUUUCCAUAUAUNNNNNNNNNNNNNNNNNNNNNNNNNNNNNNNNNNNNNNNNNNNNNNNNNNNNNNNNNNNNNNNNNNNNNNNNNNNNNNNNNNNNNNNNNNNNNNNNNNNNNNNNNNNNNNNNNNNNNNNNNNAAUUGAUGAAAUGGCCCGACAUUGAACAAGAUCGACAAAGUAAGACUAGAUACCAAAAAACAAACCAAAUAGUAAUUAGUAGGUAAAAGAUAAGUUACCACGACGAAUGGAAUGUUACGUGUAGUAUUUUAGUAUGUAAUACGGAAGAUAUAGUGGCCAAAAACUGCAUCUUAUUAUCCCAAAAGAAAAGGAGAAAGUAUAUUUAUUGUGAAUAUUAUUAUCAUUAUGAUUCAAUUAACCACAAUAUUUAUGAUAAAGAAGUGGAAGAAUAUCCAUUGUGAUAUCCGCACCAACACAAGUUAGUUGAUAUAUACAUAUGGAGCGUUGAGUGUCGACAAUUAGUGGGGGUGGGCUUCUGAUGUGAAAUGUGAAUCACAAGAAUCCCUCAUAUAAUUCACUUCUUUAUUAUCUUUAGAGAGAAAUUAAAGCAGCUGAGUCAAAUGGUCCUUUGAAUUAUUACUUGAUUGGACCUUUCGUCAUCAUUGGGUCCAUUUAAUUGAACGUGUCGGCAAGUCUUGAUUCUAGUCGUUCGAUUCAAUCCCAAACCAUAUCCUUUUUCUUUUCAAAUAUGCUAGUAUUACAUUGAGUGAUCUCAAAAAAAAAAAAAAUAAAAAAAAAAAAAUUUACACUAACGAAUAUUAGAUUUGUCUUUUAUGAAUACACACAACACUAAUCAGUGAGAAAAUGGAGAUGCUUGACAAAUUAAAAUGAGGAUGAAGGAGAUCUAAUCAACUUGAAAUUAGUUCAAAAAAUUUCACUCUGAUUUACUUGCAAAGGAGGAAUUUAAAAGAAGUGUUAUACUAAAUUACUACUCUCUCCGUCCCAAUUUAUAUGGCGAUAUUUGACUCGGCACAAAAUUUAACAAGAAAAAAAAAAGAUAACUUGUGGUCUAAAAUAAGUUAGAGAUAUUUGUGUGCCUAUAAAGUAUCUAAAGAUAAAAUAGAAAAUUUAAUGUUGAAUUAUUUUUAAAAUAAAGAAGUAUUACAUUAUUUUUGCAAAAGACAAAAAAAAAAAUGCUAUUGUUUACCUAGCUUAUCCUCUCAUGUCUAUUUUGCUAUCUUACUAGCUAGCGGAUAUGUGGUGGUGGUGGUGGUGGUGGGGUUGGGGGGUGGGGGUUACGACCCACCAACUGACAUUUUCUUCUACUAACUCUUGUAAUAUUGUGGUUCAACUUGGCAGUUUAAACGCUCUACGUAGCACAUAUAUGCAUGCACUGAUACUAAUUCAGUUUAAUACUAAUAUUGUAUAUCGUCUCUCUACAAAAUAGCAAAAACUUACCUUGACCUAAAAAAAUAUCGUCUCUCUAAAAAAUAACAAAAGCUUACCUUUACCUCAAUAUAGCAUCAGAUUAGUGUGUCAUACUCCCGUUCAUUUUGCUUAGUACCUUACAUGAGCCAAAACCUGAUCAUCAUGUAGACCUCGUUUGUUUUCACUUACUUAACGUCUGGAUCUGAAUCCUUUAGGCACGUCAAUUCUAGAGUUUGUGUUUGUUCUAUAUAUUUGUAAAUGAUUUUUCGUUACUAUGUGCUGGAAAUUAAACAAGAUUAACUAGUAUUCUAACAUCGUCUAGGAUUUGGUAUUUACUAGUUUAUUUAAUUUAUGUCUAAUUAGGAUUCACAACCAAAAUCACGUAGGAAUAUAUUUUUCUAGAUUCUAGUCAAAUUUGGAUUGUAGUAUUAUAAAUGUGGAUGCUACAACAUAUUUUCUAUUGUAGAGAGGUAACUACAAUUAGUGGCGAAACUAGAAAUUUUUCCAAGGGUAUUCAAAUUUGAAAGAAGUGAAAAAAGAUUCCCUACAAAAGGGUGUUCAAUAUGUGUUAUAUACCUCUCAAACGUAAUAUUUUACCUUAUACACAGUGCAAUUUUUUGACGAAGGAUGGUCAAGUGACCACCAUUGUGAAUAUGUGGCUUCGCCACUGACUACGAUGUAAAGAGAUUCAAGAGUUUAUGUCACGCCCCGAACCUGGGCCUGGACGUAACACGACACCCGGUGCCUGACUACAUGUGGCCGAGCGAACCAACUGGCUGGCUGAAUCAACAUGUGAUAUCAUAACAUACUGAAUGCGGAAGAUAAACUAACACAUGAUGAUAUAAUGAAAGUCUGAAUUAUGUAGCCAAAAUUACUUAACAUGAAAAGCCUACGACUCUGUCUAACUAUUACUCUAGUCUAUGAAGUCUCUAAUGAAGUACUGAAAACAUCGACUGUCUGAAAAUACUGAAGAUUGUAAGGUAAUGAUAAUGCCCUGAAAGAACUGGGGAUCACCAAUUUGAAUUACACUGGUAUGUAAAGAAACUAAAAGAAAGAACUGUAAAUGCUGAAACUGAAACUGAGCCGAUAAUUGAGAACUGAUAACUGAAAUGAUAACUGCUGAAAUUGAAACUGAAAUGAUAACUGCUAACUGAUAACUGAUAACUGAACAAAGGAAGUAAGGAUAUGAAUACUCCUUCUUCGGAAUGAUGAACCACCUGCUUAUCUGAAUAAACUACGGUCUUGGGCCCAAUAUAUAUGUUCACAAGCUACGGCCUCAGGCCCAAGUUUACCUAUACAUAACUACAGCAUCAUGCCCAAAAAUGCAUAAAGCAUAAACUACAGCCUCAGGCCCAAACAUGCAUAAAACAUAAACUACGGCCUCUGGCCCAAGUAUGCAUAGAGCAUAUAAACUAAGGUCUCAUGCCCAAAUACAGGUGUUCAACAUUAAGGGAUUUAAAUUCAGGAACUGAGAAUCAUACUGCAAUAUGCGAUGCUAAAAUAGUGAAUCAUAUUGAGUUACAUGAUAUUGGAAUACUAAUAGGACUAGACUGAGACAUGUAUUCUUAAUCUGAUUAUGAAAACUGAAACUUCAAUUGUUUAUGACAUGUUGAGUAAUCUAGAUUGAGACUCAUGGGUAUCAAACCCAAGUCUAUAUUGAUUACACACUAAGCUCACAACGUUCAGAAUGAAAGUCAUGAACGAGUUAUGAAGCUGGAUAAUAGAAGUUCUGCAACUAAUCAAGGAACUAGGCUUAACUAUAUUUCUAAGGCAAUUAGUAACGUCGUAAAAGAAACGUAGUGUAGGCAGAAUCAUUAACAUUUCCAAACAUAGAGAGUUAGCCUCACAUACCUUAAUUAACUUCUUGUUGUUGAGCGUAAUACAACAUUCGCCAACCCUUUCAACUUUAAUCUAUAUCAAUACAAGUUAAAUGAUUCCAUAUUAGCAAUAAUACUCAUAUUUUGAUCACUUAGGCAUUCACUACUAGAAAUCCAGAAACAACUAUCCAAUAAACCGACCAAAAUCGAUCGGUAAUGGCCAGUAACCGUCCAAAAAGUGACCAUUUACGUGUGGUCGGUAUUUUGAAGGUCAGAAGAGCAUAAUGACCAAAGUUGAUAAGAAAUUACCGACCAACAUUGGUCGGUAUGCUCUACACGACUAUUUGACAAUUUAAUUGACUUAACGACCAAUAAUGGUCGGAAUGUUAUUUUAAUAAUUUAAUUUUACCGACCAACAUUGGUCGGUGUAUUAAAUUUAUUAAUUUUGCUUACCGACCAACUUUGGUCGGUAUUGAAAAAUUUAUAUUUUUAAUAAAUAAUUAAAAUUUAUAAAUACCGACCAACGUUGGCCGGUAAUCCGAACAGGGCAGCCAACUUACCGACCAAAGUUAGUCGGUAGUGUUGAAUUUAUGGGAAUUCAAUGUGCAUUAACCGACCAACAUUGGUCGGUAUUUUGUAAUUUAAUUUUUUUUAUUAGUUACCGACCAAGGUUGGUUGAUUUUCUAGGACUAAUUUUGGCAAAAAAUACUUAUUUUGGUAACUACACCACCUGUCAAAUAAAAAUAACAUACCAAUACCCCCAAUUUAACACAAACAACUCCUAAUUCACCACAAAUUCAACAAAAUAUCCAAUUAAUACUUUAAAACUAAUAAAGUUCAAUUAAACAUCACAAUCCAAAACCAAGCAAAAACUAAGUAAUUACAACAAGUUCAAAAGUGUUCAAUCUAAUUCAAAACUAGUUCUAUUAGUCUAGUUCAAAGUAUACUAAAGUAUUGGUCAAGGGGUGUUUUCUACAACAUCAUCACUAUCUUAUGAACUUUCAUCUACAAGACGGUAUAGAGAACGGUGUUGUGGAGGACUUGAAGAACGAUCACGGGGAGGACAGGAGGAACGAUCACGUGGAGGUCGAUCCUCUCGCGAUAAAUCAUGAGACCGGGGCAACAGAAAAGCUCCAGUAUAAAGGAGAGUUCUAAUCUGAGCUUGCAUAUCAAGGAAUUGAGCAUCUGUAAGCCUUUCUCUUUCUUUGGCCGCUUCUAGCUCGGAUGUAAGCCUUGUCAUUGUCUCCUACAUAGCCGAGAGGCCCUCCCUAUUAAGUGUCUCGCCCUGUGAGGAAGUCCACAUUCCUUGCAUUCCACACCUAUAACGGUGAAAUAGUUUCUCAGGAAGCCUGUAUACCUUCCCCCUUUUUGGACCACCAAUAACCUCUAACCAUAUUCUUUCAGCAUCCUCAUCCGAAGGUUGGGUUGGCUCGCCCGAUGCACCAUCUGGCUGACUACGAAUGAAUUCAUGCACGUUACUUUGGUAGCGACCCUACGUUAUUUUAGAUUAAAUUAGUAUUUAAAAAUUCUUAUAUAAGUAAAUUAUAACACUUAAAGAAAAUUUAAAGCUUACAUAUGCAGUCUCUGCCCGGUCCUCGACCCACCUAUCUGCAUCCCCCUAUUUCUUCUUCUUUAAAAUAUGUGUUUCCUUGAAUAGCUCAUCACGGCUCAUUGGACGUCCAUACUUCUUUUCCUAAAAAAAAAUUAAUUUAGUUAAUAAAUAGAAUUAAUAUACUUAGAAAAGUAAAUGAUUUAAGCAAUUACCAAUCUUCUUCUUAUUGUCCAGAUGCUAAUAGCACCCCCAGUGUGCAAGGAGCCUCCCUUCUCGGAUGAGCGAGCUUUAUGUCCUUGUUCGCUCCUCUUUAAGAAAUCCUCUGUCUGCCAUUGCCUUAACAAAUCAUCCCAUAAAUGCUGCAGGCACCAAUCAGGCCUCUUGUUCUUCUUUCUACCAUCUGAGAAAUGAUCCGCCAAUCUCUUACGGGCUUUGUGAUAAAAAUUUGCAGCCACUUUCUCGCUAUAGCGGUCUUCCCAUACACACUUGCUUUGCAUUUCAAAAGUUAAAUAUUAGAUGAAAACAUCAUAAAUAUAAAUUAUUAAACUACUUAAAAGAACAUUUAUACCUUAAACUGAUUGAAAAUUUGCUCCUUCAGCGAGUAUGGGAAAUCACUCCAAGUCUCAUAAGGGCCAUCAUAAAGCUUUUUGAUCGCAUUGAUGAUUAUCUUCGUAGUCUACUUACCCGGCUUGAACCUGCAAUUUAACAAUAAAAUAUAUGAAAAUAUUAGUAAAAAUAUUAUAAAACAAUAAAUACAAAAAUAACAAAUAACUCUUACGUGUUACCCUCAGGGACUAUGAUGAUCCUUCCAUAGCGAUCAUAAUGCACUACCUCUGGAUCAUCAUCCUCUGCAUAUGUAUCGGAGACAUGUGUAAACGGCGUAGAUGGGGGCUUAGAGCUACGGUCUCGCAGGCGAAGUCCUGAAAUGGAUAGAGUCGAUAAUGAAAUGGCUGCAAUCCCUGUGACUGCGACAUAGCUGGAUGCGAUCCAUGUGGCUGUGAUACUGACGGCUGUGACCUGAGUGGCUAUGAUAUGGAUGGUUGCGAUCCAUGUGGUUUUAAAAUGUAGGGAUGCGAUCCACGUGGAUGUGAUGCAGAUGAAUGCGAUCCACGUGGCUAUGAGGCAACUGGACUGUAUGUCAGACGUAUAGUCAUAUGGCCCUGUGAUGGAAGACCCGGUGUCUGGAUGAAGGUGUAGGCCUCGUGAUGUUGUGGCAUCUCAGUAUAGCCGUGUGGUGGAGGAUAAGACAUAGGCAUUUCUAAAGAGGGUGGAAAUGAGGGAGUAGUAUUAUCCCUAGGAUAUACCCUCCUCUUUCCCUUCCUAGCCUUUUCUCGACUCCGAAAACUAGUAGGUUCAUUGUUACCUUGACCCCUACCUGCUAUCUGCAUAAUAUAAUGCAUAUUUAGAUUGAAACAUAUAAGAAACUAGUUAUAACACGAGAGUGCUUUAAAAAACAACUUUUUAAUAAUCGUCGACGUAUUGUUCCUCGUCCGAGAAUUCCUCGUCCUCAAUUGUUUAAAUUUCAUCAAUUAAUUCUUCGUCCUCAUUUUCUAUAAUUGUUACUUCAUUCAUAGCAAUUUCUUCCAAUAUGCAUUCAGGAUGUUCCAAAUCAUUUUCUAACUGAUCGUCCACUAUUUGGUGAACACUGAAGAUAUCAUUUUGAUAUGCAACAUCUAACACAUUUUCGACUUCCACCAUACCUACAAGCUUAGUUUUGAUUACAACCCACCAAGCGGACUUAUUCCACCGUAAUGGAUAAGGAUCAUAAUACACUUGCCUAACGUUAUGCAUAAUUAUUAAAGGAUCAUAGUGAUCAUACUCCCUCGUAUGAUUAACCUUAAUUAUGUUGUAUUGGUGGUGUACUCUUGUACUCCAUAUCACUCAAACUUAUCUUUCUAACAUACUUAGAAUAUCGGCAUGAUUGAUUGAAGAUGGACAUUGGUGGAUAUAUUGGAUCAUUGACACAUUUGACAAUGUGUCUAUUCCUAGAACAUGGCACGUUACUCUCAAAAUAAUAAGAACAAAAAUGUGCAGUUUUCUUUACAAGAUAGGCUUCGCAUAUAGAUCCUUCAAUCUUAUUCCUCUGCUUAACAAAUUGUUUGCAUUUUCCAAUUGUCCUACAUAAUGUCAUGUUAGCCAAGAACAUUCAAAUAAAAUAGAAUAUUACAUCAAACUUAUAAUAUUACCUCUCAAAGGGAUACAUCCAUCUGCAUUGAACAGGCACUCCAAAUCGUGCCUCAUGUACAAGGUGGAUUGGAAGGUGUUCCAUCACAUCAAAGAAACCACAUGAAAAUAUUUUUUCCAUCUUACUAGAAGUUACAUGAAUGUUGUGAUUCAUCCGAAGUAGGUUUUCUUCCCUUAAGGUGGUAGAAUAUAAGUCUUUGAAAAAUAAAGUAAUAUAUGUGAUGGGUUUCCAGAUUCUUUCAGGCAAACCACAAAACGCAAUAGGUAGUAAGGUCUCCAUGAAAACAUAACAGUCAAGACUUUUCAAAUGGCUCAACUUCCCUAUCUCCAUAUCUAUUUUUUUCCUAGAUUCGACGCAUAACCCUCAUGCAUCUUCAAUUUCGUAACCCAAUCAAAAAUUUAUCGUUUUUCCUCUAAAGUGAAUGUGUAACUUGCUUUGGUCUUGAAUACCUUACCAUUGUUUGUUGUCUGCAAGUAUAAUUCAUGUCGCCUGGAAUAUUCUUGUAAGUCCAUUCUAUACUUUGGGUUAUCGUUUGUCUUACCUUUAUCAUCCAUCACUGAGUUGAACAAAUUGUCAAAAUAAUUCUUCUCAAUAUGCAUAACAUCAAGGUUGUGUUGGAGAAGAUUAUCCUUCCUAUAAGGCAACUCCCGAAAUAUACUUUGUUUCAUCCAAUUAUGAGUAACACCAUAUCUGGGAAAUCUAGAAGGUGGAGCCUCAGUNNNNNNNNNNNNNNNNNNNNNNNNNNNNNNNNNNNNNNNNNNNNNNNNNNNNNNNNNNNNNNNNNNNNNNNNNNNNNNNNNNNNNNNNNNNNNNNNNNNNNNNNNNNNNNNNNNNNNNNNNNNNNNNNNNNNNNNNNNNNNNNNNNNNNNNNNNNNNNNNNNNNNNNNNNNNNNNNNNNNNNNNNNNNNNNNNNNNNNNNNNNNNNNNNNNNNNNNNNNNNNNNNNNNNNNNNNNNNNNNNNNNNNNNNNNNNNNNNNNNNNNNNNNNNNNNNNNNNNNNNNNNNNNNNNNNNNNNNNNNNNNNNNNNNNNNNNNNNNNNNNNNNNNNNNNNNNNNNNNNNNNNNNNNNNNNNNNNNNNNNNNNNNNNNNNNNNNNNNNNNNNNNNNNNNNNNNNNNNNNNNNNNNNNNNNNNNNNNNNNNNNNNNNNNNNNNNNNNNNNNNNNNNNNNNNNNNNNNNNNNNNNNNNNNNNNNNNNNNNNNNNNNNNNNNNNNNNNNNNNNNNNNNNNNNNNNNNNNNNNNNNNNNNNNNNNNNNNNNNNNNNNNNNNNNNNNNNNNNNNNNNNNNNNNNNNNNNNNNNNNNNNNNNNNNNNNNNNNNNNNNNNNNNNNNNNNNNNNNNNNNNNNNNNNNNNNNNNNNNNNNNNNNNNNNNNNNNNNNNNNNNNNNNNNNNNNNNNNNNNNNNNNNNNNNNNNNNNNNNNNNNNNNNNNNNNNNNNNNNNNNNNNNNNNNNNNNNNNNNNNNNNNNNNNNNNNNNNNNNNNNNNNNNNNNNNNNNNNNNNNNNNNNNNNNNNNNNNNNNNNNNNNNNNNNNNNNNNNNNNNNNNNNNNNNNNNNNNNNNNNNNNNNNNNNNNNNNNNNNNNNNNNNNNNNNNNNNNNNNNNNNNNNNNNAUAUAUAUAUAUAUAUGGACUAGUCAUAUACAACUCAGAUGGUAGAUUAUAAGGUGUAAGAAAGAUAAGUCAGCAUGAAUAUGGUGUCACAGAUAUAGAAAAAGGAGUGAAGCCAUCCACACACAAACCUAACCGAAUGUUCCUUGGUUCACUAGCAUAAUCUGGAUAUGUCCUAUCAAAGUAUUUCCAAGCUUCUCCAUCUGAUGGAUGACACAUAAAAUUAGGUAGUCUUCUAUUUUCAAAGUGCCAUUUCAUAUGAGGAACUCAUCGACGCAUAUAACCUCUUUAACCUAGGUAUAGGAGGCAAAUAAUGCAUCGCCUUCACAGCGACCAUAUUCCCGCUGGAAAUCCUCUUGAUUUUUGCAGAAUUUACAACUUUCUAAAUUUGCAUCAUCUUUAUAAUAUAACAUGUAAUCAUCUUCACAACAAUCAAUUCUCAUCGACAAAAGUCCUAACUUAGAAACCAAUAUCUUUGCCUUAUAUAAAUCACCAGGUAAGUUGAUAUUUGGGUCAACUACUUCACUCAUAAGGUCAAUGAAGGAGUCCAUGGCCGAUUAAGAAAUAUUUCAAUCAAAUUUGAUACUUAGUAAUCUAACUGCAACAGAUACCUCAGAGUGCGGACUUCCUUCACGUAGUGGACGACUAGCUUCAUCUAACUGUUCAUAAAAUAUUUUGCAUCAUCAUUAGGAGUUUGUUCAAUAUUUUCAUUGGGCUCACCCCCGGAGUGCAUCCCAAAAGCAUCCGCUACCAUAUCCUGAAUUCUAGAACAUGAUUUCUAUACUCCACCGACCUACUACUUUCACCAACAACCAUAUUAUGAAAUAUUCCACGGCUACCAUCGAUCUCUCUAUGAUUAGUCCACACAAAAUUAUUCUCUAUAAACCCCUUCCUAUAAAGAUGAAGCCUAACUUCCUCCGAUUUUUUAAACUUCACACAAUCACACUUGACACAAGGGAACCUAAAUACUCCUUCAAUUUGGUAUGAUGAAAGUGACAUUGCAUGUCUAAUAAAGUCAUUAACCCCUUCUACAAAAUUCUCCCACAAUCCCCGCCGAUUAGGAUAAUUUCUAUUGUACAUCCAAGUACGAUGUUCCAUCUAUACAAAUAAAAAAAAUAAAUUAACAUAUUUCCAUAAGUAUUAGAACUACUUAAUUUAUUCUACAAUUAUAAAUUAAUUAAAUAAUUUUUAGUUAAUUAAGAUAAUUAAAUUUUACUAAUUACACCAAAAUUAAAUUAUAGUAAAUAUAAUUAAUUAUGAUUCAUUCAAUUUAAACAUAAAUUAUAAGUUCAAUUCAUACCCAAAAGGUUCAACACUUAUCCCUAAAAGUUUAAUUCACAACCAAAAAUGUCACGACCCAAAAUCCUAACCUGUCGUGAUGGCGCCUAUCGUGGAACUAGGCAAGCCGACUCAUCCCAAAACAUACCUAUCUUUUCAUUUCAAAAAUAAUUUCAAGGCUAUUUAGCAUAAAACAUUCGUAAAAGAGUUCAAACCAAAACAAAAGUGCGGAAAAUAAAAGCCCGACAUCGGGGUGUCACUAAGUCAUGAGCAUCUAGAUAAUCAAGCUAAUACAACUAGUGUCUAAAUAUCAAUACAAGACAGAAAGGAAUAUAGAAGGAGAGUCAAGGUCCUGCGGACGCCGGCAGCUACCUCGUAGUCUCCGAUACUCGAUCGCGCUCGAACUCAAUGACCUCCGUGAUCAAACACACCUGGAUCUUCGCAUAAAGUGCAGGGUGUAGCAUAAGUACAACCACCUCAGCAAGUAACAGAAAUAAAUAAGGAACUGAGAAAAAAUAAAACGAGCUACACAUGAUACAGUUCUUUUCAAAAAUUUCAGUUAAGGAAUUUAGGCACGCUUUCAAACUGGUGUUUCAAAAAUCAGAUGUUUUAAGCUCAUGUGACACGGUAUAAGCCCUCCAAAACAUCACAACAUAAAUGAAUAGCAACAAGGUGCAUCAAUAAAUAAAAGCAAUAUACAGCCUCACAUGGGCUACUAACCCCCUCUUUCCACUAAUUACAUGAUUAAAUAACGAGAAAUCACCAUAUAUACGAGUAUUAGGGCUCAAGCAACUUAUUUCACUGAUAGCCCUUGAAUCACCUUUCAAAAAUCACUCCAAAAGCUCCAAAAACCAACUUGAAAAUAGUGGAAAGAACCAAAUCCGCGAAAGGUUCUAUUUAUGGUUUCAGCCCAAGCUUUUCGCACCUGCAGACCAUUUCUCGCAUCUGCGCAACCGCACCUGCGGAAAAAUCCAUCACAGGUGCAAAACUCACUUAUGAGCCCAAGAUUCGCAUCUGCGGCCAACUUGUCGCACCUGCGUAUGGCACACCGCAUCUGCGAAGCUAGCCUACUUCCUUCAUUCUGCAUCAGCGCCCUAGGUCUCGCACCUGUGCAUCCUGCCUAGCCCAGCAUUGCCCGCACCUGCGAACCCCCAUGCGCACCAGCGGCCCCGCACCUAUGACUCCCCUUCCACAGGUACGGAAAUAACAGUAGCAGCAGCUUCGGCUACAUUUUCCAACUUUGACAAAUCCGUUAACCACCCAGAAUCACCCCGAGGUCCUCGGGACCUCAACCAAAAAUAUUGACAAGUCAUAUAUCAACAUAUCAACUUAGUCGAACCUACAAAUAACUCAAAAUAACAUCAAAACACCAAAUUACCCUUUGAUUCAAGCCUAAGAACUUCUAAAACGUCCAAAUUCGACAACUGAUGCCGAAACUAACAAAACCACAUCCGAAUGACCUCAAAUUUUGCACACGCAUCAAAAAUCACACUACGAACCUACUCCAACUUUCGAAAUUCCUUCUUGACCCCGAUAUCAAAUUUUCCAAUGCCGACCAAAGAUCGCCAAAUUUCCAAUUUCGCCAAUUCAAGCCUAAUUCUACUAUGGACUUCCAAAUCAUAUUUCGGACGUGCUCCUGAGUCCAAAAUCACCUAACUGAGCUAAUGGAACCAUCAGAAUUCAAAUCCGAGGUCGUUUGCACAUAGAUCAACAUCUGGUUGACUUUUUAUACUUAAGCUUCUACUUUAGGGACUAAGUAUUUCAAUCCACUCUGAAACCACUCCAGACUCGAACCAACUAACCCGAUACAUCAUAAUAUAGAUGAAAGGAACAAAAGAAGCAAAAAUGGGGAAAACAGGGGUUGUAACUCUCAGAACGACCGGCCGGUUCAUUACAUCCUCCCCCUCUUAAACAACCUUUCAUCCUCGAACGGGUCCAGAAACAUACCUGGAGUCUCAAAUUGGUGUGGAUAUCUGCUCCGUAUCUCCCGCUCGGUCUCCCAGUUUGCCUCUUCCACAGGUUGCCCUCUCCACUGCACCUUCACUGAAGCUAUGUCCUUUGACCUCAGCCUUCGAACCUGCCGAUCCAAAAUGGCCACCGGCUCCAUAUCAUAAGUCAUAUCGCCUUUCAACUGAACCGUGCUGAAAUCCAAAAUAUGGGACGGAUCUCCGAUAUACUUCCGGAGCAUGGAAACAUGAAAUACUGGGUGCACGCUUAACAAGCUGGGUGGCAAGGCAAGCUUAUACGCCACCUCCCCUAUCCUCUGAAGCACCUCAAAAGGGCCAAUGAACUAGGGGCUCAACUUGCCCUUCUUCCCAAACCUCACCUCACCCUUCAUGGGUGAUACCUUCAGCAAAACCUUCUCCCAAACCAUAAAAGACACAUCACGGACAUUCCUAUCCGCGUAGCUCUUCUGCCUAGACUGCGCCGUGCGAAGCCGCUCCUAAAUCAAUUUUACCUUAUCUAAUGCAUCCUAGACCAAGUCUGUACCCAAGAGCCUAGCCUCACCCGGCUCAAACCAUCCAACCAGAGAUCUACACCUCCUCCCAUAUAAAUCCUCGUGCGGAGCCAUCUGAAUACUCGACUGAUAACUUAUAUGAAAACUCCAUGAGUGGCAGAAUCUGGUCCCAUGAACCCCCAAAGUCAAUGACACAAGCACGCAAUAUGUCCUCCAAUAUUUGAAUAGUGCGCUCGGACUGCCCAUCCAUCUGAGGGUGAAAAGUUAUGCUCAACUCAACUUGAGUACCCAACUCUUGCUGCACGGUCCUCCAAAAUUACGAUGUGAACUAAGUACCUCUAUCUGAAAUGAUGGAAACUUGGACACUAUACAGGCGAACAAUCUCUCGAAUAUUAAUCUUAGUCAACCGCUCUAAAGUAUAAGUAGUACCAACUGGAAUGAAGUGCGUGAACUUGGUCAUCCGAUCCACAAUAACCCAAAUAGCAUCGAACUUCCUUGAAGUCUGUGGAAGCCCAACUACGAAGUCCAUGGUGAUCCACUCCCACUUCCACUCUAGGAUCUCUAACUUCUGAAGCAAGCCACCCGGUCUAUGAUUCUCAUACUUAACAUGCUGACAGUUGAUACACAGAUCUACAAACCCAACUAUAUCUUUUUUCAUCCGCCUCCACCAAUAGUGCUUCCUCAAAUCCUGGUACAUCUUCGCGGCACCCAGAUGGAUGGAAUACCGCGAACUGUGGGCCUUCUCAAGAAUCAAAUCCCUGAACCCAUCUACAUUAGGCACACAUAUCCGGCCCUGCAUUCUCAACACGCCGUCAUCACCAAUGGUCACAUCCCUAGCAUCAUCUCGCUGAACCUUGUCAUGAAGAACGAGCAAGUGGGGGUCAUCAUGCUGACGCUUCCUAAUAUGAUCAUAAAGAGAAGACUUGGAGACCACAUAAGCCAAUACCCGACUUGGCUCCGAAAUAUCCAAUUUGACAAGCUGGCCCACUAAGGCCUGAACAUCCAAUGUGAAGGGUCUCUCUGCUACUGGGAGAUAUGCUAAACUCCCCAAACUCUCCGCCCGACGACUCAAAGCAUCGGCCACCACAUUGGCCUUCCCCGGAUGGUACAAGAUAAUGAUAUCGUAGUCCUUAAGAAGCUCUAACCAUCUCUGUUGAUGCAAGUUAAGAUCCUUCCGCUUCAACAGAUACUGCAAACUCCGGUGAUCAGUAUAGAUCUCACAAUGAACCCCAUACAAACAAUGAUGCCAAAUCUUCAAGGCGUGCACAAUGGCUGCUAACUCAUGAUCAUGGACACGAUAGUUCUUCUCAUGGGUCUUCAACUGGCACUAGGCAUAGGUAAUCACCCUACCCUCCUGCAUCAGAACACAUCCAAUACCUACUAUCGAGGCAUCACAAUACACGGUGUAAGAACCUGAAGCUGAUGGCAGAACUAACACCGGAGCUGUGGUCAAAGCAGUCUUGAGCUUCUGAAAGCUCUCCUCACACUCAUCCGACCACUUGAAUGGAGCACCCUUUUAGGUCAAUUUGGUCAAGGGCUAAUAAACAAAAAACCCUGAACGAACCGACGGUAAUAACCAGCCAUAUCGAGAAAGCUUCGAAUCUCUGUAGCUGAGGACGAUCUUGGCCAACUCUUAACCGCCUCUAUCUUCUUCGGAUCAACCUGAAUACCCUCACUGGACACCACGUGCCCCAAGAAUACUACUGAACCGAGCCAGAACUCACACUUGGAGAAUUUUGCAUAAAGCUUCUCCUCCCUCAAUCUUUGUAAUACAAUCCUCAAGUGUUGAGCAUGUUCCUCCUGACUACGAGAGUACUCUAGGAUGUCAUCAAUGAAUACAAUAAUGAAUGAGUCCAAAUAGGGCUGGAAUGCACUGUUCAUCAGAUGCAUGAACGCUGCUGGUGCGUUGGUUUGCCCAAAGGACAUCACCAAGAACUCAUAAUGGCCAUAUUGGGUCCUGAAAGCUGUCUUAAGAAUAUCCGAAUCCCAAAUCUUUAGCUGGUGAUAACUGGACCUCAAAUCAAUCUCGGAGAACACCCUCGCUCCCCGAAGCUGGUCAAAUAAAUCAUCAAUACGAGGUAAAUGAUACUUGUUCUUGACUGUGACUUUGUUUAACUACCUGUAAUCAAUGCACAUCCUCAUGGAACCAUCCUUCUUAUUUACAAAUAGAACUGGUGCACCCGAAGAUGACACACUAGGCCGGAUAAACCCCUUAUCAAGGAAUUCCUGAAGCUGUUCCUUCAACUCCUUCAACUCCGCCGGUGCCAUACGAUAUGUGGAAUAGAAAUGGGUUGAGUUCCCGAUACCAAAUCAAUACCAAAGUCAAUAUCCCUGUCAAGCGGCAUGCCCGAUAGGUCUGCAGGAAACAUAUCCAAAAAAACACACACCACCGGAACAGAAUCAAUGGCAGGAGUCUCUGCACUAGCAUCCCUCACAAAAUCCAAAUAGGAUCGACAACCCUUCUUAACGAUACGUUGAGACUUCAAUUACGAAAUCACCCUACUAGGUACAUAGUCUAUAGAACUACUCCACUCAACUCUCGGAAGUCCCGGCAUCACCAAGGUCACGGUCUUAGCAUGACAAUCUAGAACAACAUGACAUGGAGAUAACCAAUCCAUGCCCAAUAUCACAUCAAAGUCAACCAUACUGAGCAACAAUAGAUCCACUCAGGUUUCCAGACCCCCAAUAGUCACCAUACAAGACCGAUAUACGUGAUCCACCAUAAUAGUAUCGCCCACAGGAGUAGAUACAUGAACAGAUGAAACUAAAGACUCACGGGGCAUAUCUAGACAAUGAGCAAAGUAUGAGGAAACAUAUGAAUAAGUGGAACCAGGGUCAAAUAAUACAGAAGCAUCUCUGUGGAAAACAGAGACAAUACCUGUAAUCACAACAUCCGAAACAAUAGCAUCUGGUCUGGCAGGGAGAGCAUAAAAAUAGGCCUGGCUACCCCUGAUCUACCUCCCCCUCUAGGGCAACCCCUAGCUGACUGACCUCCACCCCUAGCUGACUGAUUCCUCUGUUGAGCGGAACCUCCCACUAGACGGGGACACUCUCUCCUCAGCUGACCAAACUCUCCACACUCAUACCAACACCCCGAUGCUGGUGCUGGGGACUGAAUAUAGCCCCGAGCACCAGGGAUGACUAGCAGAAGGACCCGACAUAGACGAACUCUGACCCGAUAGAGCACGCGAAUAACUUUGCGCUGGUAGUGCACAGGAUGAUGGUUGUCCCUGCUGAUAACUGUAAGAACCAUGGCCAAAUGAUGCACCACGGUGAAAUGGCCGAGCUGACUGAGCCUGUCUGAAAUGACGACCUCUACCGUGCCGGAAAUAACUCCCAGAAGGUGCACUGCUGAAUCCACCCUGACCACGAGGCCUCUUGGCCUCCCUCUAAACCCUCUCCUGCCCACGAACCAUCUCAAUUUGCCGAGCAAUGUCGACAACCUCAUCAAAGGUCGCACCCGAAACCCACUCUCUGGUCAUGAGCAACUGUAGCUGAUAAGUGAGACCAUCAAUAAACCCCAUGAUCCUCUCCCUGUCUGUGGGAACCAACCAGAUAGCAUGAUGGGCCAACUCAGAGAACUGCAUCUCAUACUGUGGCACAAACAUAUCACCCUGGUAAAGCCGCUCAAACUGUCUGCGCAGCUCCUCUCUACGGGAUCGAGGCACGAAUUUCUCCAAAAAGACUGCAGAGAACUGCUGCCAAGUAAGGGGUGCUGCGCCAACAGGACUACGGCUCUCGUAAGUCUCCCACCAUCUGAGUGCAUCCCCGGAAAACUGAAAAGUAGUGAAUGAGACACCAUAAGUCUCCAGAAUACCAUCAGUACAGAGUAUCCUCUAACACCUGUCCAAAAAGUCCUGAGCAUUCUCUCUCUCUGUGCCACUGAAAGGUGGUGGAUAGAGUCUCCCAAACCUCUCCAACCAACACUGAACAUCCUCAGGCAUAGCAAGAACCACAUAAUCCUGAGCAGCUGUAACCGGCUGGGCUGGUGGUUCCCCCGGUGUCUGGAGUCCCUGAACAACCUGCUCGGGUGUGCGAGCGACGGGAGUCUGAGUGCCUGUGCCUCCCCUGGCCUGAGAAGUGGUUGCGGCCGUCAAGAUAGAAACUGCCUGAGCAAGGCCAGUACACGUUGUCAUAAUUUGAGCUAGGGCCUCCUGAAGGCCUGGAAUUAUAAUAGGCACGGGUGGUGAUUGAGCUGGUGCAUCGACAACUGGAAUCUGGUCCUAAUCUGGGACAACUGGUGGAUCUGUAAGUACUGCCCUAGCUGUGGUACGGGCUACACCUAUGCCCCUACCAUGGCCUCUACCGCGGCCUCGACCUCUCGCGGCCCUGGCUGGUAGUACUGCUGGCUGGCCCUCUGACCGGUAGUACGAGUCCUCACCAU
This 21857-nucleotide long non-coding RNA is filed under the name Nicotiana tabacum (common tobacco). Its description in RNAcentral is "long non-coding RNA (NTAB_LNC002021)". Lineage: Eukaryota; Viridiplantae; Streptophyta; Magnoliopsida; Solanales; Solanaceae. The record is from RNAcentral.